UUGAGCCUAAGUGAGGACUUAGAAGCGAAAUUGGUUGGCCGGUUCAGAGCCCGGCGAUUCUGGAUUAGACGGAAAGACCCCGAGAGCUUGCAUUGUAGGUUUAUCUGGGGCGGAGGCGAGUGUUUCACUCGUUUUGAGAUCCUGUGGGAUAAAAGGAUAAAGUUACCUCGGGGAUAACUAGGUAAGAAGCAAGGAGAGAUCAUAUUGAUUUGCUUGGUUGCCAUCUCGAUGUUGACUUGGGAUAAGCAGGGGGGUGCAGAGGUUCCCCUGGGGGGUCUGUUCGACCAUAGAAUCCUUCAUGAGCU
RNAcentral lists this ribosomal RNA (305 nucleotides) under Haplorchis yokogawai. Its description in RNAcentral is "partial large subunit ribosomal RNA". It matches the Rfam family "Bacterial large subunit ribosomal RNA", at positions 2014 to 2606 of the family's 2925-position model. The record is from RNAcentral. Lineage: Eukaryota; Metazoa; Platyhelminthes; Trematoda; Opisthorchiida; Heterophyidae.